Molecule: ribosomal RNA, 497 nt
Filed under: uncultured bacterium
Lineage: Bacteria
Description: partial 16S ribosomal RNA
Rfam family: Bacterial small subunit ribosomal RNA
Source: RNAcentral
GACGAACGCUGGCGGCGUGCCUAAUACAUGCAAGUUGAGCGCUGAAGGUUGGUACUUGUACCAACUGGAUGAGCAGCGAACGGGUGAGUAACGCGUGGGGAAUCUGCCUUUGAGCGGGGGACAACAUUUGGAAACGAAUGCUAAUACCGCAUAAAAACUUUAAACACAAGUUUUAAGUUUGAAAGAUGCAAUUGCAUCACUCAAAGAUGAUCCCGCGUUGUAUUAGCUAGUUGGUGAGGUAAAGGCUCACCAAGGCGAUGAUACAUAGCCGACCUGAGAGGGUGAUCGGCCACAUUGGGACUGAGACACGGCCCAAAAUCCUACGGGAGGCAGCAGUAGGGAAUCUUCGGCCAUGGACGAAAGUCUGACCGAGCAACGCCGCGUGAGUGAAGAAGGUUUUCGGAUCGUAAAACUCUGUUGGUAGAGAAGAACGUUGGUGAGAGUGGAAAGCUCAUCAAGUGACGGUACCUACACAGAAAGGAACGGCUAACUACGUG